AAAGUCGUAACAAGGUUUCCGUAGGUGAACCUGCGGAAGGAUCAUUAACAAAUCAUGAUUGCGUGUGGGGAGAGGCAACUUUCCCUAUGCGUAUAUUGACCCGACUCGGACGUCCGAAAGGCAUGUUCGAGUCGAUCUUGAGGAGUGCGCGCAAGUGUGCUCCUCGGGACAUUGACGCUUGUAUUGUUUGACAGAGUAAACCAUGACACCAAAAGAUACAACUUUUAACAAUGGAUCUCUUGGCUCUU
This 248-nucleotide unclassified non-coding RNA is filed under the name Basidiomycota sp. RNAcentral describes it as "partial contains small subunit ribosomal RNA, internal transcribed spacer 1, and 5.8S ribosomal RNA". The stretch from base 1 to 47 matches the Rfam family "Eukaryotic small subunit ribosomal RNA", at positions 1785 to 1831 of the family's 1831-position model. The record is from RNAcentral. Lineage: Eukaryota; Fungi; Basidiomycota.